GGAAUUUUGGGCAAUGGGCGAAAGCCUGACCCAGCAACGCCGCGUGAGGGAUGAAGGCCUUCGGGUCGUAAACCUCUGUCGGGAGGGAAGAACGUUCCCGGGGUGAACAAUCCCGGUGGCUGACGGUACCUCUAGAGGAAGCGCCGGCUACCUCCGUGCCAGCAGCCGCGGUAAUACGGAGGGCGCACGCGGUGUUCGGAAUCAUUGGGCGUAAAGCGCGUGUAGGCGGCUUGGCAAGUCGAGUGUGAAAGCCCGGGGCUCAACCCCGGAAGGUCGCUCGAAACUGCCUCGCUCGAGUCCCGGAGAGGAAGGCGGAAUUCCCGGUGUAGAGGUGAAAUUCGUAGAUAUCGGGAGGAACACCAGCGGCGAAGGCGGCCUUCUGGACGGUGACUGACGCUGAGACGUGAAAGCGUGGGGAGCAAAC
Molecule: ribosomal RNA, 424 nt
Filed under: uncultured bacterium
Lineage: Bacteria
Description: bacterial SSU rRNA
Rfam family: Bacterial small subunit ribosomal RNA
Source: RNAcentral